Molecule: ribosomal RNA, 2917 nt
Filed under: Pseudomonas amygdali pv. lachrymans
Lineage: Bacteria; Pseudomonadati; Pseudomonadota; Gammaproteobacteria; Pseudomonadales; Pseudomonadaceae
Description: bacterial LSU rRNA
Rfam family: Bacterial large subunit ribosomal RNA
Source: RNAcentral
GUUAUAUGGUCAAGUGAAGAAGCGCAUACGGUGGAUGCCUUGGCAGUCAGAGGCGAUGAAAGACGUGGUAGCCUGCGAAAAGCUUCGGGGAGUCGGCAAACAGACUGUGAUCCGGAGAUGUCUGAAUGGGGGAACCCAGCCAUCAUAAGAUGGUUAUCUUGUACUGAAUACAUAGGUGCAAGAGGCGAACCAGGGGAACUGAAACAUCUAAGUACCCUGAGGAAAAGAAAUCAACCGAGAUUCCCUUAGUAGUGGCGAGCGAACGGGGACCAGCCCUUAAGUUGUAUUGAGAUUAGCGGAACGUUCUGGAAAGGACGGCCAUAGUGGGUGAUAGCCCUGUACGCGAAAAUCCCUUUGCAAUGAAAUCGAGUAGGACGGGGCACGAGAAACCUUGUCUGAAUAUGGGGGGACCAUCCUCCAAGGCUAAAUACUACUGACUGACCGAUAGUGAACCAGUACCGUGAGGGAAAGGCGAAAAGAACCGCGGAGAGCGGAGUGAAAUAGAUCCUGAAACCGUAUGCGUACAAGCAGUGGGAGCCCACUUUGUUGGGUGACUGCGUACCUUUUGUAUAAUGGGUCAGCGACUUAUUUUCAGUGGCGAGCUUAACCGAAUAGGGGAGGCGUAGCGAAAGCGAGUCUUAAUAGGGCGUCUAGUCGCUGGGAAUAGACCCGAAACCGGGCGAUCUAUCCAUGGGCAGGUUGAAGGUUGGGUAACACUAACUGGAGGACCGAACCGACUACCGUUGAAAAGUUAGCGGAUGACCUGUGGAUCGGAGUGAAAGGCUAAUCAAGCUCGGAGAUAGCUGGUUCUCCUCGAAAGCUAUUUAGGUAGCGCCUCAUGUAUCACUGUAGGGGGUAGAGCACUGUUUCGGCUAGGGGGUCAUCCCGACUUACCAAACCGAUGCAAACUCCGAAUACCUACAAGUGCCGAGCAUGGGAGACACACGGCGGGUGCUAACGUCCGUCGUGAAAAGGGAAACAACCCAGACCGUCAGCUAAGGUCCCAAAGUCAUGGUUAAGUGGGAAACGAUGUGGGAAGGCUUAGACAGCUAGGAGGUUGGCUUAGAAGCAGCCACCCUUUAAAGAAAGCGUAAUAGCUCACUAGUCGAGUCGGCCUGCGCGGAAGAUGUAACGGGGCUCAAACCAUGCACCGAAGCUACGGGUAUCAUCUUAUGAUGAUGCGGUAGAGGAGCGUUCUGUAAGCCUGUGAAGGUGAGUUGAGAAGCUUGCUGGAGGUAUCAGAAGUGCGAAUGCUGACAUGAGUAACGACAAUGGGUGUGAAAAACACCCACGCCGAAAGACCAAGGUUUCCUGCGCAACGUUAAUCGACGCAGGGUUAGUCGGUCCCUAAGGCGAGGCUGAAAAGCGUAGUCGAUGGAAAACAGGUUAAUAUUCCUGUACUUCUGGUUAUUGCGAUGGAGGGACGGAGAAGGCUAGGCCAGCCUGGCGUUGGUUGUCCAGGUUUAAGGUGGUAGGCUGAGAUCUUAGGUAAAUCCGGGAUCUCAAGGCCGAGAGCUGAUGACGAGUGUUCUUUAGAACACGAAGUGGUUGAUGCCAUGCUUCCAAGAAAAGCUUCUAAGCUUCAGGUAACCAGGAACCGUACCCCAAACCGACACAGGUGGUUGGGUAGAGAAUACCAAGGCGCUUGAGAGAACUCGGGUGAAGGAACUAGGCAAAAUGGCACCGUAACUUCGGGAGAAGGUGCGCCGGUGAGGGUGAAGCAUUUACUGCGUAAGCCCACGCCGGUCGAAGAUACCAGGCCGCUGCGACUGUUUAUUAAAAACACAGCACUCUGCAAACACGAAAGUGGACGUAUAGGGUGUGACGCCUGCCCGGUGCCGGAAGGUUAAUUGAUGGGGUUAGCGCAAGCGAAGCUCUUGAUCGAAGCCCCGGUAAACGGCGGCCGUAACUAUAACGGUCCUAAGGUAGCGAAAUUCCUUGUCGGGUAAGUUCCGACCUGCACGAAUGGCGUAACGAUGGCGGCGCUGUCUCCACCCGAGACUCAGUGAAAUUGAAAUCGCUGUGAAGAUGCAGUGUAUCCGCGGCUAGACGGAAAGACCCCGUGAACCUUUACUAUAGCUUUGCACUGGACUUUGAAUUUGCUUGUGUAGGAUAGGUGGGAGGCUUUGAAGCGUGGACGCCAGUCUGCGUGGAGCCAACCUUGAAAUACCACCCUGGCAACUUUGAGGUUCUAACUCAGGUCCGUUAUCCGGAUCGAGGACAGUGUAUGGUGGGUAGUUUGACUGGGGCGGUCUCCUCCUAAAGAGUAACGGAGGAGUACGAAGGUGCGCUCAGACCGGUCGGAAAUCGGUCGUAGAGUAUAAAGGCAAAAGCGCGCUUGACUGCGAGACAGACACGUCGAGCAGGUACGAAAGUAGGUCUUAGUGAUCCGGUGGUUCUGUAUGGAAGGGCCAUCGCUCAACGGAUAAAAGGUACUCCGGGGAUAACAGGCUGAUACCGCCCAAGAGUUCAUAUCGACGGCGGUGUUUGGCACCUCGAUGUCGGCUCAUCACAUCCUGGGGCUGAAGCCGGUCCCAAGGGUAUGGCUGUUCGCCAUUUAAAGUGGUACGCGAGCUGGGUUUAGAACGUCGUGAGACAGUUCGGUCCCUAUCUGCCGUGGACGUUUGAGAUUUGAGAGGGGCUGCUCCUAGUACGAGAGGACCGGAGUGGACGAACCUCUGGUGUUCCGGUUGUCACGCCAGUGGCAUUGCCGGGUAGCUAUGUUCGGAAAAGAUAACCGCUGAAAGCAUCUAAGCGGGAAACUUGCCUCAAGAUGAGAUCUCACUGGAACAUUGAGUUCCCUGAAGGGCCGUCGAAGACUACGACGUUGAUAGGUUGGGUGUGUAAGCGCUGUGAGGCGUUGAGCUAACCAAUACUAAUUGCCCGUGAGGCUUGACCAUAUAACACCCAAGCAAUU